RNAcentral lists this ribosomal RNA (760 nucleotides) under uncultured bacterium. RNAcentral's name for it is "bacterial SSU rRNA". It matches the Rfam family "Bacterial small subunit ribosomal RNA", at positions 8 to 796 of the family's 1533-position model. The record is from RNAcentral.
AGAGUUUGAUCCUGGCUCAGGAUAAACGCUGGCGGCGUGCCUAACACAUGCAAGUCGAACGCCCUGGUCUCGCAAGGGACGAGGGAGUGGCGGACGGGUGAGUAGCACAUGGGUACCUACCCCCAGGUGAGGAAUACACCGAGAAAUCGGUGACAAGACCGCAUAUCUUUCUGGCGAAAGAAAGUCACGCAAGUGACGCCUAGGGAUGGGCCUGUGCCUGAUUAGCUGGUUGGUGGGGUAAGCGCUCACCAAGGCGACGAUCAGUAGCUGGUCUGAGAGGAUGAUCAGCCACACUGGGAUUGAGAACGGCCCAGACUCCUACGGGGGGCAGCAGUGAGGAAUUUUCGGCAAUGGAGGCAACUCUGACCGAGCAACGCCGCGUGCAGGAUGACCCUUUUCGGAGCGUAAACUGCUUUUCUUGGGGACGAGCACAGGACGGUACCCAAGCAAGAAGCCCCGGCUAACUACGUGCCAGCAGCCGCGGUAAUACGUAGGGGGCGAGCGUUGUCCGGAGUUACUGGGCGUAAAGGGCCCGCAGGCGGUCCUGCAAGUUCCCUCUGACAGUGCUGGGCUUAACUCAGCAAGGUGGGGGAAAACUGCAGGACUUGAGGCAGAGAGAGGGACAGGGAAUUCCGGGUGGAGUGGUGAAAUGCGUAGAUAUCCGGAGGAACACCAAAGGCGAAGGCACUGUCCUGGCUCUGACCUGACGCUCGGGGGCGAAAGCCAGGGGAGCGAACGGGAUUAGAUACCCCGGUAGUCC